UACAGAGGUCUCGAGCGUUGUUCGGAUUCAUUGGGCGUAAAGGGCGCGUAGGCGGCCUUCUAAGUCGAACGUGAAAUCCCUGGGCUCAACCCAGGAACUGCGUCCGAUACUGGAAGGCUUGAAUCCGGGAGAGGGAUGCGGAAUUCCAGGUGUAGCGGUGAAAUGCGUAGAUAUCUGGAGGAACACCGGUGGCGAAGGCGGCAUCCUGGACCGGUAUUGACGCUGAGGCGCGAAAGCCAGGGGAGCAAACGGG
This 253-nucleotide ribosomal RNA is filed under the name uncultured bacterium. RNAcentral describes it as "partial 16S ribosomal RNA". It matches the Rfam family "Bacterial small subunit ribosomal RNA", at positions 524 to 776 of the family's 1533-position model. The record is from RNAcentral.